This 440-nucleotide ribosomal RNA is filed under the name uncultured bacterium. Its description in RNAcentral is "partial 16S ribosomal RNA". It matches the Rfam family "Bacterial small subunit ribosomal RNA", at positions 338 to 795 of the family's 1533-position model. The record is from RNAcentral.
CCUACGGGCGGCAGCAGUGGGGGAUAUUGCACAAUGGGGGGAACCCUGAUGCAGCGACGCCGCGUGGGUGAAGAAGCGCCUCGGCGCGUAAAGCCCUGUCAGCAGGGAAGAAAAUGACGGUACCUGAAGAAGAAGCCCCGGCUAACUACGUGCCAGCAGCCGCGGUAAUACGUAGGGGGCAAGCGUUAUCCGGAUUUACUGGGUGGAAAGGGGGCGCAGACGGCGAUGCAAGCCAGGAGUGAAAGCCCGGGGCCCAACCCCGGGACUGCUCUUGGAACUGCGUGGCUGGAGUGCAGGAGGGGCAGGCGGAAUUCCUGGUGUAGCGGUGAAAUGCGUAGAUAUCAGGAGGAACACCGGUGGCGAAGGCGGCCUGCGGGACUGCAACUGACGUUGAGGCCCGAAAGCGUGGGGAGCAAACAGGAUUAGAUACCCCAGUAGUC